This 712-nucleotide ribosomal RNA is filed under the name uncultured Mycoplasma sp. RNAcentral's name for it is "bacterial SSU rRNA". It matches the Rfam family "Bacterial small subunit ribosomal RNA", at positions 115 to 849 of the family's 1533-position model. Lineage: Bacteria; Bacillati; Mycoplasmatota; Mollicutes; Mycoplasmatales; Mycoplasmataceae. The record is from RNAcentral.
GCAUAUUUAACAUGCCCCUAGGAGGGGAAUAGCCACCUGAAAAGGUGAUUAAUACCCCAUAGUAGCUUCCUCUGAUGGGGAAGCUUUAAAGGUUUAUUCCGCCUAGGGAUUGGAAUAUGUUCUACUAGCUAGUUGGUGAGGUAAAGGCUCACCAAGGCAAUGAUAGAUAGCUGGUCUUAGAGGAUGAACAGCCACAAUGGGAUUGAGAUACGGCCCAUAUUCUUACGGGAAGCAGCAGUAGGGAAUUUUCCACAAUGGGCGAAAGCCUGAUGGAGCAAUGCCAUGUGAACGAUGAAGGCCUAUUUGGUCGUAAAGUUCUUUUAGAGGGGAAGACUUUGACGGUACCCUCUGAAUAAGUGACAGCAAACUAUGUGCCAGCAGCUGCGGUAAUACAUAGGUCGCGAGCGUUAUUCGGUUUUAUUGGGCGUAAAGCAAGCGCAGGCGGAUGAACAAGUUCUGUGUUAAAAGCAGCUGCUCAACAGUUGUUUGCACCGAAUACUGUUUGUCUAGAAUGUGGUAGGAAGUUUUGGAAUUAAAUAUGGAGCGGUGGAAUGUGUAGAUAUAUUUAAGAACACCAGAGGCGAAGGCGAAAACUUAGGCCAUCAUUGACGCUUAGGCUUGAAAGUGUGGGUAGCAAAUGGGAUUAGAUACCCCAGUAGUCCACACCGUAAACGAUGGGUAUUGGAUGUCGGAUCUUGAGAUUCGGUGUUGU